This 1103-nucleotide long non-coding RNA is filed under the name Papio anubis (olive baboon). RNAcentral describes it as "lncRNA (ENSPANG00000049030.1)". The record is from RNAcentral. Lineage: Eukaryota; Metazoa; Chordata; Mammalia; Primates; Cercopithecidae.
CUAAUAUAUAAAGCAUACUAUAACUUGGUUAAAUUACAUUGACUUUAUUUUUUUCCUCAUCUAGGAUGCAAUGGAAAAGAUACAUAGAGGAUCAAAUACAUGUGAUGGUGGAAGUGAAGACCGUUCCUUUGUGCUUCCUUGUUUCCUGAAGGGAUGCUUCUGAAAUUCAGUGAUCUCAACAGGCCACUUGGAGAGAGAGAGAGAAUAUUUUAGAAACCAAAAGGAAGUAUGACCGGACCAUAGCAUCAAGGGAAAGAAAGGUGAAGGUAAGGUCACCCUACAGGCCUGUGAACAAAGUGGAUGAUGCAGAGCUAUUUUAGCGUGAAGAGAGUUAAGCAUUUAUGUCAAGGGCAAAGGGAAUUUAUUUUGAAGAGUUUUAUGCAACUGUGUGGAAUGUAGGGGUAAAACGUGGGAGAAAAGAGAACACAUAGAGGGUAUUUAAAUAAUUUUAGAAGAAAUGGUGGUUAUCGUGGUGAUAGUAGAGCUAGUAAAAAUGGAAAACAUUAGAUGUUAGAAUGUAUUUUUAAGAAAGAAACAACCAAGAGUCACUGAUAUAUUGAAUAUGGGGAGUUCAAGGGAAGGGACAUGGCUGAUGCUGGAAACCAUCAUUGUCAGCAAACUAACCCAGGAACAGAAGACCAAAAUUGAAUGUUCUUACUCAUAAGUGGGAGCUGAGCAAUGAGAACAUAUGGACUCAGGGAAGGGAACAACACACCGGGGCCUGUAGGGGGUUUGGGGGAGGGCAAGGGGAGGGAGAGCAUUAGGACAAAUAACUAAUGCACGUGGAGCUUAAAACCUAGAUGACGGGUUGAUAGGUGCAGCAAACCACCAUGGCACAUGUAUACCUAUGUAACAAACCUUCACGUUCAGCACAUGUAUCCCAGAACAUAAAGUAAAAUAAAAAUAAAAAGAGUUACUGGGUUAGAAAGAUUCUCCUUCUGGACUUGAAGAAGCAAAGAGCCAUAGCCAUAGCUAUAUAUGGGACACAUGGUAGGACACUGGAAACAGAUUAGGACCUAAGAAUACCUUCUGGCUGACGGCCAGAACACAAACGGAAAUCUCAAUGAAUUCCAUCAACAGCCUGCAGGUGUUUGGAAAUGGAU